UACGGGGGGAGCAAGCGUUGUUCGGAUUUACUGGGCGUAAAGGGCGCGUAGGCGGCCUGAUAAGUCGGGGGUGAAAGCCUGUGGCUCAACCACAGAAUUGCCUUCGAUACUGUUAGGCUUGAGACCGGAAGAGGUAAGUGGAACUGCGAGUGUAGAGGUGAAAUUCGUAGAUAUUCGCAAGAACACCAGUGGCGAAGGCGGCUUACUGGUCCGGUUCUGACGCUGAGGCGCGAAAGCGUGGGGAGCAAACAGG
RNAcentral lists this ribosomal RNA (253 nucleotides) under uncultured bacterium. RNAcentral describes it as "partial 16S ribosomal RNA". It matches the Rfam family "Bacterial small subunit ribosomal RNA", at positions 524 to 776 of the family's 1533-position model. The record is from RNAcentral.